This 279-nucleotide long non-coding RNA is filed under the name Pan troglodytes (chimpanzee). Its description in RNAcentral is "long non-coding RNA NONPTRT012719". The record is from RNAcentral. Lineage: Eukaryota; Metazoa; Chordata; Mammalia; Primates; Hominidae.
GAUGUUGAGGUUGCUAAUGGCUUGAGGAGUGUGAUGACAGUUUAGAACAGCCCCUGGAUUGCAAAGAACAUGAUCAGAAACUAGAGGGUUGUUGCUGAACUUUGGGUUAUACUUAUGGUAACCUCAUCACUGAGAAUUUCCCAGAUUGCUGCUUUUCUUACUAUACUUCUGGAAGAUUUUAACAGGUUUCUAGGAAAAAAUGUGAAACAAUUUUGUGUAGGGGUGAAUAUGCAAUAUGGAUAGAAUUGACAGUACACUAUAAUUUUUUGUUUGUGUGUA